RNAcentral lists this ribosomal RNA (512 nucleotides) under uncultured bacterium. RNAcentral describes it as "bacterial SSU rRNA". It matches the Rfam family "Archaeal small subunit ribosomal RNA", at positions 723 to 1236 of the family's 1478-position model. The record is from RNAcentral.
ACUGAAUAGAUACCCCGGAGUCCCAGCCGUAAACGAUGCUCGCUAGGUGUCAGGCAUGGCGCGACCGUGUCUGGUGCCGCAGGGAAGCCGUGAAGCGAGCCACCUGGGAAGUACGGCCGCAAGGCUGAAACUUAAAGGAAUUGGCGGGGGAGCACAACAACGGGUGGAGCCUGCGGUUUAAUUGGACUCAACGCCGGACAACUCACCGGGGGCGACAGCAAUAUGUAGGCCAGGCUGAAGACCUUGCCUGAAUCGCUGAGAGGAGGUGCAUGGCCGUCGCCAGUUCGUACUGUGAAGCAUCCUGUUAAGUCAGGCAACGAGCGAGACCCGUGCCCACUGUUACCAGCAUAUUCUCCGGAAUGAUGGGUACUCUGUGGGGACCGCCGAUGUUAAAUCGGAGGAAGGUGCGGGCCACGGUAGGUCAGUAUGCCCCGAAUCUCCCGGGCUACACGCGGGCUACAAUGGAUGGGACAAUGGGUCCCUACCCUGAAGAGGGCUGGUAAUCUCACAAA